CACAUGCAAGUCGAGGGGUAUAGUAGCAAUACUAGAGACCGGCGCACGGGUGCGUAACGCGUAUGCAAUCUACCUUUUGCAGAGGGAUAGCCCAGAGAAAUUUGGAUUAAUACCUCAUAGUAUAACGACUCGGCAUCGAGAUGUUAUUAAAGUCACAACGGCAAAAGAUGAGCAUGCGUCCCAUUAGUUAGUUGGUAAGGUAACGGCUUACCAAGACUACGAUGGGUAGGGGUCCUGAGAGGGAGAUCCCCCACACUGGUACUGAGACACGGACCAGACUCCUACGGGAGGCAGCAGUGAGGAAUAUUGGUCAAUGGGCGCAAGCCUGAACCAGCCAUGCCGCGUGCAGGAUGACGGUCCUAUGGAUUGUAAACUGCUUUUGCACAGGAAGAAACACUGAUUCGUGAAUCAGCUUGACGGUACUGUGAGAAUAAGGAUCGGCUAACUCCGUGCCAGCAGCCGCGGUAAUACGGAGGAUCCAAGCGUUAUCCGGAAUCAUUGGGUUUAAAGGGUCCGUAGGCGGUCUUAUAAGUCAGUGGUGAAAUCUCCCCGCUCAACGGGGAAACGGCCAUUGAUACUGUAGGACUUGAAUUAUUAGGAAGUAACUAGAAUAUGUAGUGUAGCGGUGAAAUGCUUAGAGAUUACAUGGAAUACCAAUUGCGAAGGCAGGUUACUACUAAUGGAUUGACGCUGAUGGACGAAAGCGUGGGUAGCGAACAGGAUUAGAUACCCUGGUAGUCCACGCCGUAAACGAUGGAUACUAGCUGUUGGGCGCAAGUUCAGUGGCUAAGCGAAAGUGAUAAGUAUCCCACC
Molecule: ribosomal RNA, 813 nt
Filed under: uncultured bacterium
Lineage: Bacteria
Description: bacterial SSU rRNA
Rfam family: Bacterial small subunit ribosomal RNA
Source: RNAcentral